This 207-nucleotide unclassified non-coding RNA is filed under the name Hevea brasiliensis (rubber tree). Lineage: Eukaryota; Viridiplantae; Streptophyta; Magnoliopsida; Malpighiales; Euphorbiaceae. The record is from RNAcentral.
AAAAUAUGCAACAAUAUGGAUUGCACAAAAUUAAUUGUAUGCAACAAUUUAGGAAUUUCACAAAAAAUUCACAUUUAAUUAUAAAUCGUCUUUUUUAGAAUAAAAUAUUAUUAUAUGAGUAAAACCAUAUAACUACAUAAAUGAUUAAAAUAAUUUAAUUUCUGUUUACUCAUGCCUUAAAGGCAUUCAUUAAAAACUUAUAAAUUU